RNAcentral lists this ribosomal RNA (497 nucleotides) under uncultured bacterium. Its description in RNAcentral is "partial 16S ribosomal RNA". It matches the Rfam family "Bacterial small subunit ribosomal RNA", at positions 28 to 507 of the family's 1533-position model. The record is from RNAcentral.
GAUGAACGCUGGCGGCGUGCCUAAUACAUGCAAGUCGAGCGAACAGACGAGGAGCUUGCUCCUCUGACGUUAGCGGCGGACGGGUGAGUAACACGUGGAUAACCUACCUAUAAGACUGGGAUAACUUCGGGAAACCGGAGCUAAUACCGGAUAAUAUAUUGAACCGCAUGGUUCAAUAGUGAAAGACGGUUUUGCUGUCACUUAUAGAUGGAUCCGCGCCGCAUUAGCUAGUUGGUAAGGUAACGGCUUACCAAGGCGACGAUGCGUAGCCGACCUGAGAGGGUGAUCGGCCACACUGGAACUGAGACACGGUCCAGACUCCUACGGGAGGCAGCAGUAGGGAAUCUUCCGCAAUGGGCGAAAGCCUGACGGAGCAACGCCGCGUGAGUGAUGAAGGUCUCCGGAUCGUAAAACUCUGUUAUUAGGGAAGAACAAAUGUGUAAGUAACUAUGCACGUCUUGACGGUACCUAAUCAGAAAGCCACGGCUAACUACGUG